UAACUUGCCUUUGACAUGUUGGAGAACUUCCCGGAGUUGGAUUGUUNCCUUCGGGAACUUGGAACACAGUUGUUGCAUGGUUGUCGUCAGCUCGUGUCGUGAGAUGUUGGGUUAAGUCCCGCAACGGAGCGCAACCCUUGUCCUUAGUUGCCAGCACGUAAUGGUGGGAACUUUAAGGAGACCGCCGGUGACAAACCGGAGGAAGGUGGGGAUGACGUCAAGUCAUCAUGGCCCUUACGGCCAGGGCUACACACGUACUACAAUGGUAGGGACAGAGGGCUGCAAGCCGGCGACGGUAAGCCAAUCCCAGAAACCCUAUCUCAGUCCGGAUUGGAGUCUGCAACUCGACUCCAUGAAGUCGGAAUCGCUUAGUAAUCGCAGAUCAGCAUUGCUGCGGUGAAUACGUUCCCGGGCCUUGUACACACCGCCCGU
This 432-nucleotide ribosomal RNA is filed under the name uncultured bacterium. RNAcentral describes it as "bacterial SSU rRNA". It matches the Rfam family "Bacterial small subunit ribosomal RNA", at positions 971 to 1397 of the family's 1533-position model. The record is from RNAcentral.